Amaranthus tricolor (Joseph's coat) is the source of this 1706-nucleotide RNA transcript. RefSeq lists it as uncharacterized. Lineage: Eukaryota; Viridiplantae; Streptophyta; Magnoliopsida; Caryophyllales; Amaranthaceae. The record is from RefSeq and is a predicted model, not a curated record. The transcript has 10 exons.
CUUCCAUUGUCAAGUCGAGGGACCUCUAGGGUCGUUUAAGUAAGCUGAUUUUCGUUUCCCCAGCAUAGCAAAUAGCAAUAGAAGCAAGACGGGAAGUUGAAAUGACAAUGGUGGUAACGCUUCUUCCCUGUCGCUUUAUAAAGUGCUUUUCAAUUUCAUGUUCAUGUUCAUCUUCUACUGCCAGUACCCUCCAUGAAAUUGCUUCAGCUUCUCCUCAAGGAGUUGCAAAGGUUGUAUUAAAGAAAGGAAAGACUCAACUCUUCAGGUAUGGAAGUCCUAUGGUUUAUAGUGGAGCAGUUGAUAGAAUAAUAGGUAGACCACCUCCUAAGACAGGUGAAGUUGUUUUGGUAGCUGACGGAACCGAAAAACCAAUAGGGUGGGGCUUAUACAAUUCUGCUUCUAUGUUUUGUGUUCGUCUAAUGCAGCUCGAGGAGGAAGCAGUAAGGGAUCCUGCAUGUGCAUUGAACAUGGAGAGACUGUUAGAGAGCAGAAUUAACGCAGCAGCAGAUUUACGAAGAAUUUUAGGGCUCCCUUGUUCAAAUACAAAUGCAUACCGUCUUGUCAAUAGUGAAGGAGAUAGGUUGUCCGGACUAAUUGUUGAUGUAUUUGGUGAUGUAGCUGUUGUCGCAUCUUCUGCGGCAUGGGUUGAGAAAUACAAGCCAGAAAUAGAGGCUUGUAUAAAGAAAGUUGAUGGAAUCAGUAAUAUAAAUUGGAGACCUUCAAUGGACAUGCUGAAAGAAGAGGGUUUGGACCUUUUACAAUUAAAGCAUACACCUGUUGCUCCUUUCGAACAAGUUGAGGUCAAGGAAAACGGUAUUAGAUAUGCUGUUUCUCUUGAGGGACAAAAAACAGGAUUCUAUGCUGAUCAGCGUGAAAACCGUGAGUUCAUUUCAACAAUUGCAAAGGGUAUGAGGGUUCUCGAUGUAUGCUGCUAUAGUGGUGGAUUUUCUCUUAAUGCAGCUUUUGGUGGUGCUGUCUCAGUGACCGGUAUUGAUUCAUCUCUGCCUGCUCUAGAGCUUGCAAAACAUAAUGUUACUAUCAAUGGCCUAAAUGCUGAGGCAAUAUCCUUCUUAAAGCAAGAUGCAACCAAUUUUAUGAAGAAUGCUGCUGCUCGAAAUGACACUUGGGAUAUUGUCAUCUUGGAUCCUCCUAAAUUGGCUCCUCGCAAGCAGGCUCUACAAAAUGCGUCUGGAAUGUACAGAAAUUUAAAUUCGCUAGCUAUGAGAUUGACAAAGAAGGGUGGUAUCCUAAUGACUUGCUCUUGUUCUGGUGCUAUGACACAAAGUGGGACGUUCUUGCGUGUAAUCCAGGGUGCAGCAGCAAUGGCAGGCAGAAGAGUGACUGUUUUACGGCAAGCUGGAGCUGCUUGUGAUCAUCCAAUUGAUCCGUCUUACCCUGAAGGCGCUUAUCUUUCCAACAUCAUGCUCAGAGUAUUAUAGACUGCAAUUAUUCCACCAGAAAGUUGAUGAUUGAAGAAAUUUCACCAACUUGGCAUGUCUAUGGCUCAUAACUAAGACUUGAAGAGCUUCAUCAAACCCUCACUCCUAAUUUGACAUUCAAACCAUAGUUUGUAUUCAAGGUACUUAACACCUUCAGAAGCUAAAAUCAUCUUCAAAUCAUUUUUGCCGGCCAUAGCAAUCAGCAGUGUAAAACUACCUUCUGGAUUUAUCACUAAAAAGCAGCAAAGGUUAUGUCAAUGUGCUCGU